This 265-nucleotide ribosomal RNA is filed under the name Pseudomonas sp. RNAcentral describes it as "partial 16S ribosomal RNA". It matches the Rfam family "Bacterial small subunit ribosomal RNA", at positions 516 to 780 of the family's 1533-position model. Lineage: Bacteria; Pseudomonadati; Pseudomonadota; Gammaproteobacteria; Pseudomonadales; Pseudomonadaceae. The record is from RNAcentral.
CGCGGUAAUACAGAGGGUGCAAGCGUUAAUCGGAAUUACUGGGCGUAAAGCGCGCGUAGGUGGUUUGUUAAGUUGGAUGUGAAAUCCCCGGGCUCAACCUGGGAACUGCAUUCAAAACUGACUGACUAGAGUAUGGUAGAGGGUGGUGGAAUUUCCUGUGUAGCGGUGAAAUGCGUAGAUAUAGGAAGGAACACCAGUGGCGAAGGCGACCACCUGGACUGAUACUGACACUGAGGUGCGAAAGCGUGGGGAGCAAACAGGAUUA